UGGGGAAUAUUGCACAAUGGGGGAAACCCUGAUGCAGCGACGCCGCGUGAACGAAGAAGGUAUUCGUAUCGUAAAGUUCUGUCCUAUGGGAAGAUAAUGACAGUACCAUAGAAGAAAGCUCCGGCUAAAUACGUGCCAGCAGCCGCGGUAAUACGUAUGGAGCGAGCGUUGUCCGGAAUUAUUGGGCGUAAAGGGUACGCAGGCGGUUUAAUAAGUCGAAUGUGAAAGAUCGGGGCUCAACCCCGCAAAGCAUUGGAAACUGAUAAACUUGAGUAGUGGAGAGGAAAGUGGAAUUCCUAGUGUAGUGGUGAAAUACGUAGAUAUUAGGAGGAAUACCAGUAGCGAAGGCGACUUUCUGGACACAAACUGACGCUGAGGUCCGAAAGCGUGGGGAGCAAACAG
This 402-nucleotide ribosomal RNA is filed under the name bacterium. Its description in RNAcentral is "partial 16S ribosomal RNA". It matches the Rfam family "Bacterial small subunit ribosomal RNA", at positions 355 to 775 of the family's 1533-position model. The record is from RNAcentral.